GGCGCCCGCCGGGAGCCGCGCGCCCUCGGCCGCCGUUGGGGCCGUUGGGGCCGUUGGGGCCGUGCGCGUCCCCGCGCGUCCCCGCGGCUGGCGGGGGGGGCGCGGGCUGCCCGCCCCCCGCAGCCUUCACCCUCCUCCUCCUCCUCUUCCUCCUCCUCCUCUUCUUCCCUUUGCCCGGCCCGGCCCGGCCCGGCUCGGCUCGGCGCUGUGAUUGGGCGGAAGAUGGCGCUGGGCGGAUGGAAAUCCUAAUGACAGUCUCCAAGAUCGCCUCCAUCUGUACCAUGGGCGCCAAUGCCUCAGCUUUGGAGAAAGAGAUUGGUCCGGAACAAUUUCCAGUUAAUGAACACUAUUUUGGUUUGGUUAAUUUUGGGAAUACAUGCUACUGCAAUUCAGUUCUUCAGGCACUUUAUUUCUGUCGCCCAUUUCGAGACAAAGUCUUAGCAUAUAAGAGUCAACCAAGAAAAAAAGAGAAUCUCCUUACAUGCUUAGCUGAUCUCUUCCACAGUAUAGCCACCCAGAAGAAAAAAGUUGGAGUUAUACCUCCCAAGAAAUUUAUAACAAGAUUACGAAAAGAAAAUGAGCUUUUUGAUAACUACAUGCAGCAGGAUGCACAUGAGUUCUUAAACUAUCUAUUAAAUACAAUUGCGGAUAUCUUGCAAGAAGAAAGAAAACAAGAGAAGCAAAAUGGUCGCCUACCCAAUGGCAACAUUGAUAAUGAAAAUAACAGUCCACCAGACCCAACCUGGGUUCAUGAAAUCUUUCAGGGAACAUUAACAAACGAAACCAGAUGUCUUACAUGUGAAACUAUAAGCAGCAAAGAUGAAGACUUCUUAGACCUUUCAGUUGAUGUGGAACAGAAUACUUCAAUCACUCAUUGUUUAAGGGGUUUCAGCAAUACAGAAACUCUGUGCAGUGAAUACAAAUAUUAUUGUGAAGAAUGUCGCAGUAAGCAAGAAGCACAUAAAAGGAUGAAAGUAAAAAAGCUACCUAUGAUUCUAGCUCUCCAUUUGAAGAGAUUUAAAUACAUGGAUCAGCUGCAUCGAUACACAAAACUCUCUUAUAGAGUAGUUUUUCCUUUAGAGCUUCGUUUAUUUAACACCUCAGGAGAUGCCACCAAUCCUGACAGAAUGUAUGACCUUGUUGCUGUGGUGGUUCAUUGUGGAAGUGGCCCUAACAGAGGACAUUAUAUUGCAAUAGUGAAAAGUCAUGAUUUUUGGUUGCUUUUUGAUGAUGAUAUUGUUGAGAAAAUUGAUGCACAAGCUAUUGAAGAAUUCUACGGGUUGACAUCAGACAUCUCAAAGAACUCUGAGUCUGGUUACAUCCUCUUCUAUCAGUCUCGGGAUUGAGGGGGAACUGUAGCGAAGAGAGAUUGUUAUGCCUCACAUCUCUAUCUUGGAAUGGAGCAAGCACUGAAGAAAAGAAAAGCAGGAAGCUCCAGGGGUGGUAGCACAGUUUGCACACAACUAAGCAAAGAGUUUGGGAUUUUUAAAACCUUCAUAUCAUUACCAUUUUAUUUGCUCAGGUAUCAUGCUGACUACACGUCUCCACUGCAUCCCGUAAGCAAAAAAGAGAUACCAACCAGUCUUGCAGGAGCUUUCCAUUAGGUAAUGCUGUUUCUGUGGUCCUAAUUCAAAGCCCAUUAAGGUCACUGGAGAACCUUACAUGGACUUCAGUGGAAUUUGAAUCAGGUUCUAACUGCACUGCCAGAUUGGUGCAAAAGGAGCAUUAGAAAUCUGUAUUUUAUACAGACUUCACAUAUAAAAAGUAAAGGACUCUUUGUGAACUUAGUUUCCUGUGCUUAAGGUUGAAAGAAUGAGGCUGGGAGGGUUAACAUGUAAGCAAGAAGAUAUAUCUGGGCCCAAUUGCCUUCUUGAUGGUAGUAGUUUAACUGAAGAUAUAAACUGGUGUCAGGGAGGCAAGUAUGUUUUGCUUCUCUGAAGAAGCUUACGUUAUUUAUAAUGUAUGAUCGGGAACAAUCAGUCAAGAUUAUGGCUUUUAAUCUCCGUAUGGGGAAAGGUUUGGUUUGUAAUAGUUUAUUUUUAUUUAUAAAUUAUUGUAACUUAGGAUCUUGUGUACUGACUGUCCUUUAUUCUAACAAGUAUUGAGAAUUUUAUAUAUUAAUUUGAAUUAAAACUAUGUUAAAAUGUUAAAGAAGAGCCAACAUAAAUUCUAAAAACAAUGUCUACAAUGUCUUAAAAAAUUAGUAACAUAGAAGAGAGAUUUCCUUCUGGAAGAACUGGUAUCUAAGUGAGGUACUUUAUUUAAUUAAACUAGAAUAUCAUCUUUCCAUUAAUGGGUGAAAAAAGUGAACAAAUAUUACACAGAAGACUUUUAAGAAUGCAUAUCAAAAGAAAAUGUUGGUGCAGUGGUGGUAUACCAGUCUUUAUAGUUCUUUAAUCAUUUAUUAAUGUCUUGUACUCUAAGCAAAUUAGAAUUAUUUGGAUCAAAGUAAACUGUUUUCAGAAUUUCAUACCCUUUCUUAAAAACAGAUCCACUUAUGUUACCAAUAACAUGGGUGACUGUCUCAAAAACCACUCAAGGUCUCAAGUAUAAAUUUUUCUAAGUAAUAAAAAGAAUCAAGAUUAAAUUUUAGUGAGACUGAAGAUACUGCAUUCCUUUAAAAGUAGAAUGAAGCGUAGGGUUUUUCACUGAAACCAACUGUUUUACCUUGCUUUGGGUUUAUGAAACAGCAUUAAGAACUAACUCUUGACAAAACACCUGAUCUGUAAUAAAUGUGAACUACUGUGAUCUGACAUUCUUCCAUUUAACAGUACUUUGUCUGACAGUAGCUGAAUGUAAUUUCUGGAAAGUCAGGGGAUAUGCAUUCCAGAUGAUGGCAAUCAGGUCUUGGAUGUCCUUGUCACCCCUCUUCAGCUAGUGAUUUUUACAUUAUUGUAGUUUUCUAAGGUUAUUUUAUUGAUACUGUUACGACUUUUGAAAAGAAUGUCUCCUAUCUGCUGCUAUAACUGGCUAUUUACUUACCUGUAUCUUUUAGCUCAGGAAAUGACUUCACCUAUUCGCUCAGUUGAACAAAUCUUUAACAGGGUCACUAAAUAAAUUGGGCUAUUUAGCAACUGUCAUGCUGUAACAAAUUGCUUUUGUAAAAUGCAAAGUUUCUAAAGCCCUGGUUUGGCUAGAAUUCUUUUGUAUAAAAUUAUGUAUCAUGAUUAAACUACCAGCAUUGUAAAGUAAAGCUUAAAUAUUGUGGGAGAUGCAGAAAGUAUGAUUGGAUUUUUCUUAAGGGAUUCAAGUAAUUUUAACACCUUUUUUCAGCUUUCAGUGGGAAAAGGGUUAAGGAGUGAGCCGGUUGGUUAAUGGUGCAUGUUAGAAGGAUGAAGUCCUUUGCAUACUAAAGAUCUACUGCCAUACCCCGAGACAUCUGCAUAGGACUGGCAGAUCUAACACAAGACCUACAAAAGAUCUGCAUCCUUCUGGAGCAGCAGCAUAAGGCUGGACUGAACAUCCUGGCUUGUUCCCCAUGUCUUUGUCUCAGCAUUUUCACAAGCACUGUUGCAUAUGCCCUCCUUGGUGCAUACAAAGAUGAAAGUUUCUAUCACUUCGUUACUUUUCUGAGGCCUCUGGUUACUUUUGUAAUUCCCUUAUUAAAAUGAAAAGAAUUUUAUGUUCUAUUUGGUCCAGGCUCUCAGCUGUGGGUUUAAGAUGAUCAGUAUAGACUUAUCAUUAAGAUUACCCUUGCAACUUUUAAAAAGAAAUUUUGUUAUGUGAAAUGUUCAAUCUUCAUUUAACAGAACUUAGCUUUAUUUCUUAUCUUUUUGCACAGAAAUUUCCGAUUUCCUGUACAAGAAAAAUCUUACUACGGGUUAAAUCUAUGGGUUUCAGUGUUACACUGCAAAUGUUUAUGUGACUAUUUUUCCAGAAGUUUAAAUAAUCCAGAUGUGGUUUGUUUGCUGUCAUGGAGCGGCUUUAUAGUCUGAGUUGUUCACUCCCUCCCCCCAUGUUUGUCUGGGUCGAUCUCAAGAUUGUAUGUCUUAGAAAUUCAGUCUUUGUUUUCCCUCUUGAUAAUACAAUGUGCACAUUUUAUGGUUUCUGUCUUGUAAGGCUUCAAAAAUCCUCUAACCUCUCACAGUAUAAUGUGAGGUGUAUAAUACAUUUGUCUCUUUACAUGCAAGCCUCCAAGUACUCAAUUAUUGCCAAAAUUAAUAUUCUACAUGAUCUGUAUUCAAGGGCUGUUCAUUUUGCAGCAGCAUUGCUGAUCAAUUGUUAUAACUGAACUAUGCAGGUCAACUACCAUGCAAACAAACACUGGCUUCAUCUUUUUACUACGGAGAUCUCUGAAAUCUGUUGUUUCCAAUUUUAAUUAUGGUGAGGCAGAAAUAAACUUUGUUUGGCGUAUGUUCAAAAACAUCUGCAAAAUUGUCUUUUUCUUUUCUUUUUUCUCUUUUAGUGAAUUAAUUUUCAGGCUAACAGUCAGAAAUCUGCUAUUAUGGUCGUUGAAUUCCUUUUGGGGGAGCUUGUAUAAGUGUGUUUUGGAUACAUAAGGAGGAUUGUUUGCAGAUAUCACCAGCUUUGAAAUGAACUAAAGGAUAUCUUCCAGUUUCUUCCCAAAGGUUCAAAUGAAUUAUAUUCCUCCUUUGCCUCUAACGGCUUGUGAUUGCUGCCUUCACAAGAGAUUUUAAGGGUUCAGAAAAGGGCAGAGGUACUGCCUCCUUAGCUCUUUGUAUAGAGCUUGUGUUGGCAGCAUUAGGGAGCUUUAAUUACAGAAGGAUCGUCAGUCAUGUCCUUGAUCUGCAUUCCACGGGUUAUGUAAUUCAGGAGAGAGAGAAUGCAGAGUGGAGAUCUUACAGAGAAAAUGGAGAAGUAACUUUGCAAUUAUUUACUAAAAUACUAGCUAGAAAAGCAACAUUUCCUAAAAGGUAAAAUAUUAAAUUUAAUGAAGAUCUCAGGUGCUGGGAAAAUUUAGGGUGUAUCCAAAACACCCUGCCAUACUCCAGGCUUUUGUUGCUUAUUAAAGCGUCAUGCUUAUAUGUGUGUGUUAAUUUUUUUAUUUAAGUCUAAAUUCAAAUUUUUUUAAUUGUACACAAAUUUGUUAAUAUGACUACGUUACUUAGUGCACUUCCAGAAAACAAUUUAUGUGUAUGUGUCAGUUGAAUGGAGUAUAAUCUUACAACAGUGAUCCAGAAAGCAUUUUCAGCUCUUCACUAGGAGUAUUUUUCAAUUUUGUAUUUUCUGUUACUGUUUUUAAGUUAGAAAAAAAAAAUAAAAAUCUGAAGAUCUCCAAGUACUUUACUAGCAUGCUAUAUUAUUCAGUGAUUCAAUAUCCAUGAAUGCCUAAAAGUCUCACUGCUGUCAAGUGUUGGCUGUUAAGA
RNA transcript from Cygnus atratus (black swan), 5327 nucleotides. It is a transcript of the gene named ubiquitin specific peptidase 12, with no coding region annotated. NCBI's taxonomy places the organism in Eukaryota, Metazoa, Chordata, Aves, Anseriformes, Anatidae. The transcript is spliced from 10 exons. The record is from RefSeq and is a predicted model, not a curated record.